Long non-coding RNA from Nomascus leucogenys (northern white-cheeked gibbon), 570 nucleotides. RefSeq lists it as uncharacterized. The transcript has 2 exons. NCBI's taxonomy places the organism in Eukaryota, Metazoa, Chordata, Mammalia, Primates, Hylobatidae. The record is from RefSeq and is a predicted model, not a curated record.
GCUCACCUCAUUCUCAACCUCACCAAUCAACAUCAAUCACAGAGCGUCCGAAAGGAGGGAUUUUCAUUUUCCUUUAAAGUGAAAAGGUGGCAGCUGCUGCCCAGCUCUCUGGCCGGUGCCUCUUAGAUGGUGUCACCAUCUGCAGAAGAAAACAGAAGUGCUGACUGAUAUUUGGUGAAGGCCUGCUAUGCCGGCGGCACCUGAUGCAGCAGGUGAAGUCCGGGGGGCAGCGGCCAAGGCUCCCUGUCCCUCAGUGUCCCUGCCCGUGAAACGGGCAUAGCUAACUCCUGUGGCCACCUUGAGGGUAGGAUGCUUCCUGCAGGUGCUUGGACCGGUAUCUGGCAUGGGGCGGGUGCUCAGUGAAAGUUCCUUGUUAAUCCCUGCACUUUUCACCAUUGGAAGUAACUCAGGACAUUGGUUUGGUGGUUCCACAAGCACUGUGGGAGAAGGUGGUGUAUCUGUUCAUCCUGGGUCCCAGUGGCUGAGGCAGAGCCAGCUGUGCAGGAGGCAGGCGUCCAAUAUGUAUAUUGGAUGGAAGAUUAAGUUGCAUAAUAAAAUAUAUUAAAGAUU